This 301-nucleotide ribosomal RNA is filed under the name uncultured bacterium. RNAcentral describes it as "partial 16S ribosomal RNA". It matches the Rfam family "Bacterial small subunit ribosomal RNA", at positions 509 to 807 of the family's 1533-position model. The record is from RNAcentral.
CAGUCGCCACGGUAAUACGUAGGUGGCAAGCGUUAUCCGGAAUUAUUGGGCGUAAAGCGCGCGUAGGCGGUUUCUUAAGUCUGAUGUGAAAGCCCACGGCUCAACCGUGGAGGGUCAUUGGAAACUGGGAAACUUGAGUGCAGAAGAGGAAAGUGGAAUUCCAUGUGUAGCGGUGAAAUGCGCAGAGAUAUGGAGGAACACCAGUGGCGAAGGCGGCUCACUGGUCCGGUACUGACGCUGAGGUGCGAAAGCGUGGGGAGCAAACAGGAUUAGAGACCCCCGUAGUCCCUGUCUCUUAUAC